ACGCACGCUGGCGGCGUGCCUCAUCCAUGCAAGUUGAGCGCUGAAGGUUGGUACUUGUACCAACUGGAUGAGCAGCGAACGGGUGAGUAACGCGUGGGGAAUCUGCCUUUGAGCGGGGGACAACAUUUGGAAACGAAUGCUAAUACCGCAUAAAAACUUUAAACACAAGUUUUAAGUUUGAAAGAUGCAAUUGCAUCACUCAAAGAUGAUCCCGCGUUGUAUUAGCUAGUUGGUGAGGUAAAGGCUCACCAAGGCGAUGAUACAUAGCCGACCUGAGAGGGUGAUCGGCCACAUUGGGACUGAGACACGGCCCAAACUCCUACGGGAGGCAGCAGUAGGGAAUCUUCGGCAAUGGACGAAAGUCUGACCGAGCAACGCCGCGUGAGUGAAGAAGGUUUUCGGAUCGUAAAACUCUGUUGGUAGAGAAGAACGUUGGUGAGAGUGGAAAGCUCAUCAAGUGACGGUAACUACACAGAAAGGGACGGCUAACUACGUG
This 496-nucleotide ribosomal RNA is filed under the name uncultured bacterium. RNAcentral describes it as "partial 16S ribosomal RNA". It matches the Rfam family "Bacterial small subunit ribosomal RNA", at positions 29 to 507 of the family's 1533-position model. The record is from RNAcentral.